GUGCCAGCAGCCGCGGUAAUACGGGGGGUGCAAGCGUUAUUCGGAAUUAUUGGGCGUAAAGGGCGCGUAGGCGGUCUCUUAAGUCAGAUGUGAAAGCCCGGGGCUUAACCCAGGAAGUGCAUUGGAUACUGGAUAACUUGAGCACGGGAGAGGAAAGUGGAACUUCGAGUGUAGGGGUGAAAUCCGUAGAUAUUCGAAGGAACACCAGUGGCGAAGGCGACUUCCUGGACCAAUACUGACGCUGAGGCGCGAAGGCGUGGGGAGCAAACAGGAUUAGAAACCCUAGUAGUCC
This 292-nucleotide ribosomal RNA is filed under the name uncultured bacterium. RNAcentral's name for it is "partial 16S ribosomal RNA". It matches the Rfam family "Bacterial small subunit ribosomal RNA", at positions 505 to 796 of the family's 1533-position model. The record is from RNAcentral.